UCCCUGGUAGUAUAUCGGUUAGUACACGCGCCUGUCAUGAAGAAAUCGUUUGAAGGUGCGCGCGAAAGCGGGGUUCGACUCCCCGCCAGGGAG
Non-coding RNA from Mycena floridula, 93 nucleotides. The record is from the annotation of a GenBank genome assembly. NCBI's taxonomy places the organism in Eukaryota, Fungi, Basidiomycota, Agaricomycetes, Agaricales, Mycenaceae.